RNAcentral lists this ribosomal RNA (253 nucleotides) under uncultured bacterium. Its description in RNAcentral is "partial 16S ribosomal RNA". It matches the Rfam family "Bacterial small subunit ribosomal RNA", at positions 524 to 776 of the family's 1533-position model. The record is from RNAcentral.
UACAGAGGGGGCAGGCGUUGUUCGGAAUUACUGGGCGUAAAGGGCGCGUAGGCGGCCUGUUAAGUCGGACGUGAAAGCCCCCGGCUCAACUGGGGAGUGUCGUGCGAUACGGUCGGACUGGAGGCCAGUAGGGGGAUGCGGAAUUCCGGGUGUAGUGGUGGAAUGCGUAGAGAUCCGGAGGAACACCAGCGGCGAAGGCGGCAUCCUGGACUGGUCCUGACACUCAUGAGCGAAAGCGUGGGGAGCGAUCCGG